This 643-nucleotide ribosomal RNA is filed under the name Rhodococcus qingshengii. RNAcentral's name for it is "bacterial SSU rRNA". It matches the Rfam family "Bacterial small subunit ribosomal RNA", at positions 229 to 885 of the family's 1533-position model. The record is from RNAcentral. Lineage: Bacteria; Bacillati; Actinomycetota; Actinomycetes; Mycobacteriales; Nocardiaceae.
UCUCGCGGCCUAUCAGCUUGUUGGUGGGUAAUGGCCUACCAAGGCGACGACGGGUAGCCGACCUGAGAGGGUGACCGGCCACACUGGGACUGAGACACGGCCCAGACUCCUACGGGAGGCAGCAGUGGGGAAUAUUGCACAAUGGGCGAAAGCCUGAUGCAGCGACGCCGCGUGAGGGAUGACGGCCUUCGGGUUGUAAACCUCUUUCAGCAGGGACGAAGCGCAAGUGACGGUACCUGCAGAAGAAGCACCGGCUAACUACGUGCCAGCACCGCGGUAAUACGUAGGGUGCAGCGUUGUCCGGAAUUACUGGGCGUAAAGAGUUCGUAGGCGGUUUGUCGCGUCGUUUGUGAAAACCAGCAGCUCAACUGCUGGCUUGCAGGCGAUACGGGCAGACUUGAGUACUGCAGGGGAGACUGGAAUUCCUGGUGUAGCGGUGAAAUGCGCAGAUAUCAGGAGGAACACCGGUGGCGAAGGCGGGUCUCUGGGCAGUAACUGACGCUGAGGAACGAAAGCGUGGGUAGCGAACAGGAUUAGAUACCCUGGUAGUCCACGCCGUAAACGGUGGGCGCUAGGUGUGGGUUCCUUCCACGGAAUCCGUGCCGUAGCUAACGCAUUAAGCGCCCCGCCUGGGGGAGUACGG